Molecule: ribosomal RNA, 683 nt
Filed under: uncultured Bacilli bacterium
Lineage: Bacteria; Bacillati; Bacillota; Bacilli
Description: bacterial SSU rRNA
Rfam family: Bacterial small subunit ribosomal RNA
Source: RNAcentral
CGAGUGCUUGCACUCAAUUGGAAAGAGGAGUGGCGGACGGGUGAGUAACACGUGGGUAACCUACCCAUCAGAGGGGGAUAACACUUGGAAACAGGUGCUAAUACCGCAUAACAGUUUAUGCCGCAUGGCAUAAGAGUGAAAGGCGCUUUCGGGUGUCGCUGAUGGAUGGACCCGCGGUGCAUUAGCUAGUUGGUGAGGUAACGGCUCACCAAGGCCACGAUGCAUAGCCGACCUGAGAGGGUGAUCGGCCACACUGGGACUGAGACACGGCCCAGACUCCUACGGGAGGCAGCAGUAGGGAAUCUUCGGCAAUGGACGAAAGUCUGACCGAGCAACGCCGCGUGAGUGAAGAAGGUUUUCGGAUCGUAAAACUCUGUUGUUAGAGAAGAACAAGGACGUUAGUAACUGAACGUCCCCUGACGGUAUCUAACCAGAAAGCCACGGCUAACUACGUGCCAGCAGCCGCGGUAAUACGUAGGUGGCAAGCGUUGUCCGGAUUUAUUGGGCGUAAAGCGAGCGCAGGCGGUUUCUUAAGUCUGAUGUGAAAGCCCCCGGCUCAACCGGGGAGGGUCAUUGGAAACUGGGAGACUUGAGUGCAGAAGAGGAGAGUGGAAUUCCAUGUGUAGCGGUGAAAUGCGUAGAUAUAUGGAGGAACACCAGUGGCGAAGGCGGCUCUCUGGUCU